This is a long non-coding RNA of Erinaceus europaeus (western European hedgehog), 1223 nucleotides long. RefSeq lists it as uncharacterized. The record is from RefSeq and is a predicted model, not a curated record. The transcript is spliced from 3 exons. Lineage: Eukaryota; Metazoa; Chordata; Mammalia; Eulipotyphla; Erinaceidae.
CAGACCCCACGCCGACAGGGCUGAGCACACACUCAGCGGGGCGUGCAAAUACAGCAAAUACAGGCGGGUUGGCUAUGUAGAAGUUUGAGGAUUCGUAAAUAUUGACAGUAAUUUUUCAACUGGAAAAUGUUUGUCAAAAGCUUAAGGUCAGUGGGUUUUUGAGAAUAGAAUUAAUUUUGCUGAACUCUGAAAUUGUUGAAUCAGGAUUACCGGUAGAAUGCCUUUCGUCUUGAAGAAUAUGAAUUUUGAUUUUUGGGACUGCCUGGGCAAGGUUCGGUGAGAAAGAGCCCGCCUUCACCAGAGGAUGUCGGGGCUGCCUGAGGGCUGGCAGACAGCCCAGCCUGUGGGGCGCAGGAUUCCAGGGUACGGCGGGAAGGCCUGCUGCCCUCAGAGCGCAGAGGUCCCAGUGAGGCCGUUGGGUUGGGACCGCCAGCUGAAGGCUUCUUUCAGAAACACUUCAGAGAGAGAGCACCUGCCACCUUCCCGCCAGGCGGUGCACGCGUGACUCUCCCCUGCUCCUGGAACCUAAGCGGUUGUCGCAACCACUCCAACCCAUGAGAGGUGUCCGUAGGAGGUGGAUGUUUGUUCACAUCAGUUUGAGUUUCUGGUUGGUUCCUGAAAACCUGGUGGUUAGUCAGAGGGAAAGAGCAUUGUUGCAGAUGGGCAGAUCUGACUGACAGGCAUUGUAGCAGACAGUGGGGCAGGUCUGACUGACUGGCAUUGUAGCAGACAGUGGGGCAUGUCUGACUGACUGGCAUUGUAGCAGACAGUGGGGCAGGGUUGACUGACCGGCAUUGUUGCAGACAGUGGGGCAGGUCUGACUGACUGGCAUUGUAGCAGACAGUGGGUCAGGUCUGGCUGACUGCCAUUGUAGCAGACAGUGGGGCAGGUCUGACUGACUGGCAUUGUUGUAGACAGUGGGGCAGGGUUGACUGACUGGCAUUGUAGCAGACAGUGGGACAGGUAUGACUGACCGGCAUUGUUGCAGACAGUGGGGCAGGUCUGACUGGCAUUGUUGCAGACAGUGGGGCAGGGUUGACUGACUGGCAUUGUAGCAGACAGUGGGGCAUGUCUGACUGACUGGCAUUGUAGCAGACAGAGGGGCAGGUCUGACUGACUGGCAUUGUAGCAGACAGUGGGGCAGGUCUGACUGGCAUUGUAGCAGACAGUGGGGCAGGGUUGACUGACUGGCAUUGUUGCAGACAGUGGGGCAGGUCUGGCUG